This 430-nucleotide ribosomal RNA is filed under the name uncultured bacterium. RNAcentral describes it as "bacterial SSU rRNA". It matches the Rfam family "Bacterial small subunit ribosomal RNA", at positions 355 to 776 of the family's 1533-position model. The record is from RNAcentral.
UGGGGAAUUGUUCGCAAUGGGCGCAAGCCUGACGACGCAACGCCGCGUGGAGGACGAAGAUCUUCGGGUCGUAAACUCCUUUCGAUCGGGACGAAUGGCCGGCGACCUAACACGUCGUCGGAGUGACGGUACCGAGAGAAGAAGCCCCGGCUAACUCCGUGCCAGCAGCCGCGGUAAUACGGGGGGGGCAAGCGUUGUUCGGAAUUACUGGGCGUAAAGGGCGCGUAGGCGGCCUGCUAAGUCACACGUGAAAUCCCUCGGCUCAACCGAGGAACUGCGUGUGAUACUGGCGGGCUCGAAUUCGGGAGAGGGAUGUGGAAUUCCAGGUGUAGCGGUGAAAUGCGUAGAUAUCUGGAGGAACACCGGUGGCGAAGGCGGCAUCCUGGACCGAGAUUGACGCUGAUGCGCGAAAGCUAGGGGAGCAAACGGG